AACGCGAAGAACCUUACCUGGGCUCGAAGCACAGUGGACCGGGUAGAAUAUCCCUUUCGCAAGAACUGCUGUGGAGGUGCUGCAUGGCUGUCGUCAGCUCGUGUCGUGAGAUGUUGGGUUAAGUCCCGCAACGAGCGCAACCCUUAUCUUCAGUUGCUACCAUUUAGUUGAGCACUCUGACGAAACCGCCUCGGAUAACGGGGAGGAAGGUGGGGAUGACGUCAAGUCCUCAUGGCCUUUAUGUCCAGGGCUACACACGUGCUACAAUGGCCGGUACAAACCGUCGCAAACCCGCGAGGGGGAGCUAAUCGGAAAAAGCCGGCCUCAGUUCGGAUUAGAGUCUGCAACUCGACUCUAUGAAGCUGGAAUCGCUAGUAAUCGCGGAUCAGAACGCCGCGGUGAAUACGUUCCCGGGCCUUGUACACACCGAUAGC
Molecule: ribosomal RNA, 434 nt
Filed under: uncultured bacterium
Lineage: Bacteria
Description: bacterial SSU rRNA
Rfam family: Bacterial small subunit ribosomal RNA
Source: RNAcentral